GCUUCGGCGGUGCUCAGCUC
This 20-nucleotide non-coding RNA is filed under the name Arabidopsis thaliana (thale cress). The record is from RNAcentral. Lineage: Eukaryota; Viridiplantae; Streptophyta; Magnoliopsida; Brassicales; Brassicaceae.